GAUGAACGCUGGCGGCGUGCCUAACACAUGCAAGUCGAGCGAACCCUUCGGGGUGAGCGGCGGACGGGUGAGUAACGCGUGGGUAACCUGCCCUAUACACACGGAUAACGUACCGAAAGGUACGCUAAUACGGGAUAAAGGUGUUGGAUGGCAUCUUCUAACAAUCAAAGCUCCGGCGGUAUAGGAUGGACCCGCGUCUGAUUAGCUAGUUGGUGAGGUAAUGGCUCACCAAGGCGACGAUCAGUAGCCGACCUGAGAGGGUGAUCGGCCACACUGGAACUGAGACACGGUCCAGACUCCUACGGGAGGCAGCAGUGGGGAAUAUUGCGCAAUGGGCGAAAGCCUGAUGCAGCAACGCCGCGUGAGCGAUGAAGGUCUUCGGAUCGUAAAGCUCUGUCCUCAAGGAAAAUAAUGACGGUACUUGAGGAGGAAGCCCCGGCUAACUACGUGCCAGCCGCCGCGGUAA
This 466-nucleotide ribosomal RNA is filed under the name uncultured bacterium. Its description in RNAcentral is "partial 16S ribosomal RNA". It matches the Rfam family "Bacterial small subunit ribosomal RNA", at positions 28 to 523 of the family's 1533-position model. The record is from RNAcentral.